RNAcentral lists this ribosomal RNA (1169 nucleotides) under metagenome. RNAcentral's name for it is "bacterial SSU rRNA". It matches the Rfam family "Bacterial small subunit ribosomal RNA", at positions 322 to 1521 of the family's 1533-position model. The record is from RNAcentral.
AGACACGGCCCAUACUCCUACGGGAGGCAGCAGCAGGGAAUAUUGCACAAUGGACGGAAGUCUGAUGCAGCGACGCCGCGUGAAUGAGGAAGGCCUUCGGGUUGUAAAUUCUUUUAGCGGGGAAGAGGAAGGACGGUACCCGUUGAAUAAGCGUCGGCUAACUACGUGCCAGCAGCCGCGGUAAGACGUAGGACGCAAGCGUUAUCCGGAUUUACUGGGCGUAAAGCGUCUGUAGGCGGAUUGGUAAGUUGGGCGUGAAAGCUCCGGGCUUAACCCGGAGAGGCCGUUCAAUACUGCUAAUCUAGAGGGUGUCAGAGGGGAGCGGAAUUCCUGGUGUAGCGGUAAAAUGCGCAGAUAUCAGGAGGAACACCGGUGGCGAAGGCGGCUCCCUAGGGCAAACCUGACGCUGAGAGACGAAAGCUAGGGGAGCGAACAGGAUUAGAGACCCUGGUAGUCCUAGCCCUAAACGAUGAAUGCUAGGUGUGGGGCCGAACGGCUCUGUGCCGCAGCUAACGCGAUAAGCAUUCCGCCUGGGGAGUACGACCGCAAGGUUAAAACUCAAACGAAUUGACGGGGCCCCGCACAAGCAGCGGAGCGUGUGGUUUAAUUCGAUGCUACACGAAGAACCUUACCUGGGUUUGACAUGCACGUGGUAAGAAGCCGAAAGGUGACUGACCCUUCGGGGAGCGUGUACAGGUGCUGCAUGGCUGUCGUCAGCUCGUGCCGUGAGGUGUCGGGUUAAGUCCCGUAACGAGCGCAACCCUUGCCCUUAGUUAUACGUGUCUAGGGGGACUGCCGGCGGAAAGCCGGAGGAAGGUGGGGAUGACGUCAAGUCAGCAUGGCCUUUAUGUCCAGGGCUACACACACGCUACAAUGGUCGGUACAAAGGGCAGCCAAACCGCGAGGUGGAGCGAAUCCCACAAAAGCCGGUCGUAGUUCGAAUUGCAGGCUGCAACCCGCCUGCAUGAAGCUGGAGUUGCUAGUAACCGCGCGUCAGCUAUAGUGCGGUGAAUACGUUCCCGGGGCUUGUACACACCGCCCGUCACGUCAUGGGAGUCGGUAACGCCUGAAGCCGGUGGUCUAACCUUAACGGGGGGACGCUGUCGAAGGCGGGACUGGCAACUGGGACGAAGUCGUAACAAGGUAGCGGUACCGGAAGGUGCGGCUGG